AACGAACGCUGGCGGCAUGCCUAACACAUGCAAGUCGAACGAGACCUUCGGGUCUAGUGGCGCACGGGUGCGUAACGCGUGGGAACCUGCCCUUAGGUUCGGAAUAACUCCCCGAAAGGGGUGCUAAUACCGGAUAAUGUCUUCGGACCAAAGAUUUAUCGCCUUUGGAUGGGCCCGCGUUGGAUUAGCUAGUUGGUAGGGUAAAAGCCUACCAAGGCGACGAUCCAUAGCUGGUCUGAGAGGAUGAUCAGCCACACUGGGACUGAGACACGGCCCAGACUCCUACGGGAGGUAGCAGUGGGGAAUUUUGGACAAUGGGCGAAAGCCUGAUCCAGCAAUGCCGCGUGAGUGAUGAAGGCCUUAGGGUUGUAAAGCUCUUUUACCCGGGAUGAUAAUGACAGUACCGGGAGAAUAAGCUCCGGCUAACUCCGUG
RNAcentral lists this ribosomal RNA (433 nucleotides) under uncultured bacterium. Its description in RNAcentral is "partial 16S ribosomal RNA". It matches the Rfam family "Bacterial small subunit ribosomal RNA", at positions 29 to 507 of the family's 1533-position model. The record is from RNAcentral.